AUUGAACGCUGGCGGCAUGCCUUACACAUGCAAGUCGAACGGCAGCACGGGAGCAAUCCUGGUGGCGAGUGGCGAACGGGUGAGUAAAGUAUCGGAACGUGCCCAGUCGUGGGGGAUAACGUAGCGAAAGUUACGCUAAUACCGCAUACGAUCUAUGGAUGAAAGCGGGGGAUCGCAAGACCUCGCGCGAUUGGAGCGGCCGAUAUCAGAUUAGGUAGUUGGUGGGGUAGAGGCUCACCAAGCCGAAGAUCUGUAGCUGGUGUGAGAGGACGACCAGCCACACUGGGACGGAGACACGGCCCAGACUCCUACGGGAGGCAGCAGUGGGGAAUUUUGGACAAUGGGCGAAAGCCUGAUCCAGCCAUGCCGCGUGCAGGAUGAAGGCCUUCGGGUUGUAAACUGCUUUUGUACGGAACGAAAAGGUUUGGCCUAAUAAGCUGAGCUCAUGACGGUACCGUAAGAAUAAGCACCGGCUAACUACGUGCCAGCAGCCGCGGUAA
Molecule: ribosomal RNA, 500 nt
Filed under: uncultured bacterium
Lineage: Bacteria
Description: partial 16S ribosomal RNA
Rfam family: Bacterial small subunit ribosomal RNA
Source: RNAcentral